Long non-coding RNA from Girardinichthys multiradiatus, 4857 nucleotides. RefSeq lists it as uncharacterized. Lineage: Eukaryota; Metazoa; Chordata; Actinopteri; Cyprinodontiformes; Goodeidae. The record is from RefSeq and is a predicted model, not a curated record. The transcript is spliced from 5 exons.
UGGAUUGCCUCCCCCACAUAUCCAUGUGAGAACAUGCUUUUCAGAGUCGCUACAAUGAUAAUUGUAGGAGUGUCUGUUGCGUGGUCGUGCUUGUUUCUCUCUUUGCUCUGUGAUGGACCAGUGACUGGUUAAUAGAUUUCAGGUCACUGUGACCCUGAACAGAAUUAAAAUGAGUAAGGGAGCGAGUUGCUCUGAACUCUGUUUCUGGCUGCUAAAUAGAUUGAAUUAUUGUGUGCUUCCUUUUUUCCCAUUUCUCUAAAAUAAGCAGGGAACGGCAUUUCAAUCUGAAAAGACUCACAAAGAGAAGGAUGGCAAGUAGAAAAGUUUUAAUGGUGAGAAAUUACAUGGUUAUUUCUUUGGCGCUCGGACCUGGGAGGAAGACAUGAAUGCUGAGAAUGACAUGAGCUAAGACGAUCAUUUGUAAGGCUUAGAUUUAAAUAAGUCUUCCCCCCAAAAAUAUGGCCGAGGCCGGGACGAGGCCUAAUAGAGUACUAGAGGGGCAUCAAUCAAGAAAGUGGAAUGAAAUAACAAAGAAAAAGAGAAGCGAAAGCCGCAAGGAAGAUUAAAAGCAGAGAAAAUAAGUUUGUAAAUAGGCUAUGAAGCAAGGAAAAUAAUAAAGAAGCAAAGCAGAUGGAAGAUAUGCCGUGAGGGGCAAUGCGAGGUGAUAGAUAUGCCGUUUUGGCAAUGUGAGGUGAUAGAUAUGCCGAGAGGGGCAAUGCGAGUUGAUAGAUAUGCCGAGAGGGGCAAUGCGAGUUGAUAGAUAUGCCGAGAGGAGCAAUGCAAGUUGAUAGAUAUGCCGAGAGUGGCAAUGCGAGGUGAUAGAUAUGCCGAGAUGGGCAAUGCGAGGUGAUGGAUAUGCCGUUUUGGCAAUGCGAGGUGAUAGAUAUGCCGUUUUGGCAAUGCGAGGUGAUGGGUAUGCCAUUUUGGCAAUGCGAGGUGAUAGAUAUGCCGUUUUGGCAAUGCAAGCGAUGCAAUGCUUGAUGAAAGCUGAGAGAGCAGAGUAAGGUGAUAGAUAUGCCAAUAUAGGCAAUGCGUGAUUAGAGGUAUAUCCGCUGAGGAUUUGAAUAAAGAUAUCAAGUUAUGAACGGAUCAGCUAGUAAAGAACAGAUAGAAUGGGUAAUGAAGGAAUAAAAAGAUGAAGGAUGAAGAAAAAUGAGAUGAAGAAAUAUGGAAAACUAUGGAGUGCUGAAAAUGCCAUUAAAGAAAUGCAGAUGAAGAUAAGAAAUAAGGUUAAAAUAAAGAUCUAUGAGUCGGGGUUGAGUAAUUAGAGAACGACAAAGUAAAUGCAGGAUAAUGAGUAAAGUACUGCACAAAGCAUGAGAAGACAAGGAAUAAUCAGCCUCCAAUUAAGGAAGGACGAAACAAAUAGAAGUACUUUUCGAAGAACAUAGGUGAGCUAGAGUGAGGGAGAAAAUUAGACAAGACUGGCAGGUGGUGAGGGGAAGAGACUUGUAAAAUAAUAGCAUGACGAUUGAACAAAGACAAUGAUGGAUAAAGGCCAACCACCACCAGGAAUUGUUGGGAGCUCUUACUUGAGAGCUGAGAAAACAUUGAGCAGAUAGAACGGAGUGGAAAUCCGGGCGAACAUAGGAAGAGAAGGAUGAAGAAGACCAACAACCCAAUUGCUGGAGAGCGGCUGAGGGAGAGACAUUGGGUCACUGCAGUAGUGGCUGCUCCUAUUCUGAAAGAAUGGCGUGAAAACUGGAUGGAGAGACCUUCUUUUAGACCGGGAAGCUACAGACUGUAAAACUCAAGAUGAGUCAGCCGAGCGAACGGCGACGCUGGAAGAGAAGGAGAUACUGUUCCAGUUAGAAAGGAGACUGGAGCGGAAAGCCCGGCAAUUUGUGACCGUGUAGAAGUUCUGUAAAAAGGAAGAGAAGAGCAAAGCACUCUGAUGGCCGACCAAGCUGCUGGAAUCAGAAGGUGGCUUGCAGUAUAAAUGUCAGUGGAAAGAACAGCGUAGUCUAAGCAGGCUCUUGAUUGAGCGAGGGUGGAUGCAGCUAAGGCUGAGAAGGACUUGAGAUACUGAUGAAAAACGAGCAGCCAAAUAAGAAAUAGGACAACAAUGAGGGACGGAAAGUAUUGAAUUAUCUAUGCUCGAGUGAAACUAUGCAGCUGGCAACUGAAUGCCUAGAGACGGCUGAGCGCCAAAAGAGGAUCCUAAGAAAUGUUAGGGAGAAUCUUUAAUAAUAUUAAGCAUAGAUGAUUUUGUCCAUACAUCCCAUAAAAAUAAGAAUAAGGUUUUGACAUGAAUGACCUGUGGCUGGGGCACUGUUUUUUUUUUUAAAGGGAGUAGCCAGUAACUGUUUAAUUAAAAUGCAGCACCACACUUAAAAAUAAAUAAAUUAAAAAUAAGACUAAAAUGGUGCAAAUUAAUUUAAAUUAAAAAUGGACACCAGCUACUACACAACCUAUCAGACAGACACCGUAAUGGUGGCACGUAAUCUACUGAUAAACACUAGGGCAGUGCACAUCUAUUGCUUUGGAGUGCCAGAUAAAACCACGUGUGACCUUCUUGCAGGGCUCUUUGUCAAUCUUUCACAUACGGCGAUGAUCCGAGAUAGGAGCCUCAGCGCUGAUCUCUGUAAUCAUUCCUCUGCUUAAUUUAGAAUAAAAGAGCAGAAAGUUAGAAGCUGUUUGAGAAUCGUCCUUUAAGAGCCAGUGUUAGAGAGUGUGAUCGGUUCUGGGGACCAAGGACUGGAGGAACUCGGAGAGGUCUGACCGGCAGCAGGGUGCGGCAGUUCGGACAGAAAGCCGGGGACGAGAUGAUUUAAACGAAGCAGAACGUAAUCAGAGGAAGCAAUGCAUUUAGACAGCCAUGGGAGAUGGUAAAAUGAAAGAACCAGAUAAUAAGCUGCCUCGGAAGGAUUUAGAGCUGAGCCUGAAGGAGAUGGUAAAAUACAUGAGAGUAAAUGAUCAACCUGAAUGAAAAGAGGGGUGGGAAACACCGCACGCUUGAAGAGCACAUUAAUAAAAAAGAUAUAUAGAGAGAGUGGAGAGAUACAUCUUGUCUAGAGACAAGCUAGGCUGGGCGCUAGGAAGGGCAACUGGUGGUGGGAGGGGGGUGCGAGGAGCAGGCAGCUACGAUGGAGCGGGAAGAGGAAAUACUGAUGUGGCAGAGAUGGCGGCGAACUCACAGCAGGAUGAUCGGUUUGAGGGAUGAAGAUGGAAGGAGAACUGCUGGAGAAACCAGGCCGGAUGACGCAGCGGCGGGAGCCGGUAAGGAGGCAGGGCUACCUCGGCGACGCUUAGCAGGAGAAGUGUAGUUCUUGAUGCGCUUUCCGCUUGCCCAGAGCUGAGACAAGGAAGAAAUGAGCCAUGAAGCGAGGCAAGCGCUCCUACGAGCGGUAGGGGAGGAAGGAGAGUCUGUUACGAAGUGUGAGGAGAUGUCGGAGUCGUAGAUGAGCUCAGCUGACAAGCGAAGAUGAACACGGUAGAAGCUCCUUUAAAAGCAAGGCGUCGGAAGGUGAUUGGAUGGAGAAUCAGACGGACAGGAUGCUGAUUGGAAGGCCGGGAGACGCACCGCAGAGUCACUGGAAGGUGGAGGUGAUGACGCUUGUAAAGACCCUCUCAGUCACGGCUCUAUUGUGUACUACCGGGAAAAGCUGAUGUCGCUGAGUGACAUACAUAGCUCCACUCGGGAGACCGCACAUCCUCGAGGAGACAAGGAGAAUUACACGGGGAGGCAGAGCUGCAACUGAGUGUCGUCAGAAUAAAACAAAGGAUCCUGUCCCAACAGCCAGCGUCCGGUUCUUACCUCGGUGGUUGGUGCUCCUUUGGUUUGAGGACUUCCUAGAAGACCCUUCCUCAGGCUGCUGCUCUUAGUCUCCUUACUGCUCCUCAACUCUCAUACCGUCUAGCUACACUGUUGCUCAGCAACCCAUUGCUCAGCUGCCUGUCCACCCUCAGCCUGCUGUGGUGCUCCCAUCAGUCUCACGCAGGAGAAACACAAAACAGAUGCUCAGCCAGCACAAACCUCUUAGAUGCUCCAAACCUGACAACCUCAGACUCAGAGAGUUACUCACCUUCCCUGGAUUUCCACCUUCAUCCACAAACAUGUUCGUCCUGAUCCGGUGCAGAAAUCCUGAAGAUCUCCACUUGUAUUUGUUAAUAAACUAUUCUGUUGAACAUGUGUGUGUAAUUGUUGUCUGCAUCAGAGCUGUAAAAUAAUACAGCAAUGACAGGGGCAUUGAUACAUGUUCUUUCAGAUGUUUAGAAAAGACAAUGUAUCAUUCUGCUUUCACUCUACAAUCAAGCAUUAAUUUGUAUUCUUAUGUCAUAUAAUAGGAAUCAAAUGCAUUGAAAUGUGUGGUUGUUUUGAGUUGUAUAAAUUUGCUUUAGCAAGGCAGUGAAUCAGUUACCUUAAUUUAUAUCCACUUCAACUAGAAAGUAAUCUUUAAGACAUUUCAUAUUAGCUAAAGCCACAUUGAUGACACUUAUUUUAUACAUAUUUGCUGAGUUAUAUAUGUGAUCUAAAAGUAUGUAAACAAAGUGCCACCAAGUUAUGGAUUUCUAUAGAAAUUUUGUAUCUGACCAGUCUGUGUGGGAACAUUCAUGUUUUUCAUUAUAAACCCUUUAAAUUUGAUUGUCAGGCUCUAAUAUUCCACUAACCUAUGUAAACUGUUAAAGCUGUUUUCUGUGUAUGCUACAUAGUUAAAGGAGUUGCCUAAAGCUGUGUAAAAUCCAGUGAAGAAAACAGUCAAACUGUAAUUUGUGAAACUGUCACAAGUGGCAUUUUUAUCAAGUUAAAAAGCCUGUAUUUUGAGGUUUGAACGGUGUUGGUGUUCCAAACUUUUCUGUCAAACAGGAGACAUGUUGAAUGUACCUCCUAUUAAACCUCAUACUUUUAAAACUUUA